This 573-nucleotide ribosomal RNA is filed under the name Triticum aestivum (bread wheat). RNAcentral's name for it is "partial small subunit ribosomal RNA". Lineage: Eukaryota; Viridiplantae; Streptophyta; Magnoliopsida; Poales; Poaceae. The record is from RNAcentral.
AUGGUUCGACCUCGUUCGAUCCCCCUCCCUUCGAACUCCCACACGCACGCAGCAGCCCACCAACAUAGCCCACGUACGAAAAAACACCAACUCAGCGCCCGCAAAAAAAAAUACAACAACUCAGCCCACGUACGAGAUCCACAGUUCAACACACGAACGAUAAGUCCAUGGAACCCCACGAUCGCGCCCAGUCAACAAAAAAACAGCUCCGCAACCCACGAACGAGGACGAGGUCCAUCGACCAAAAAUCAAACUUCUUCGACCCGCCAACGAACGCCAGUUCUUCCUGGCGUACGAGCUCCAUCAAGACGCCAGUUCUUCCUGGCGUACGAGCUCCAUCCACACGCGAAAGCACGCCGCCAAAACAGAAACGCCGCUUCAAUCGUCGUCCGGCCACAUCGUUCGCACGCGAGCUGUGGGAGCUGCAGCCUCUGCUGGUCGCCUCCAAACACAACCUCCGCUCGACGGUUGUUGCUGCGUCAUCUCCUGAGCGCGCCUACCGUCUUCUUUCUCUCCGAUGGCAAAGGAAGUUAUGUUUCAUGGUGCCUGAACUCCCUAGGUUUGCCAUCCUGA